RNAcentral lists this ribosomal RNA (351 nucleotides) under uncultured bacterium. RNAcentral describes it as "bacterial SSU rRNA". It matches the Rfam family "Bacterial small subunit ribosomal RNA", at positions 28 to 371 of the family's 1533-position model. The record is from RNAcentral.
GAUGAACGCUAGCGGCAGGCCUAACACAUGCAAGUCGAGGGGUAACGGGAAAAGCUUGCUUUUCGCCGACGACCGGCGCACGGGUGCGUAACGCGUAUACAAUCUACCUUUUGCUGUGGGAUAGCCCAGGGGAAACUUGGAUUAAUACCGCAUAGUAUAUAGUAGUGGCAUCACUACUAUAUUAAAGGUUACGGCAAAAGAUGGAGUAUGCGUUCUAUUAGCUAGAUGGUGUGGUAACGGCACGACCAUGGCAACGAUAGAUAGGGGGCCCUGAGAGGGGGAUCCCCCGACACUGGUACUGAGACACGGACCAGACUCCUACGGGAGGCAGCAGUGAGGAAUAUUGGACAA